RNAcentral lists this ribosomal RNA (449 nucleotides) under uncultured bacterium. Its description in RNAcentral is "partial 16S ribosomal RNA". It matches the Rfam family "Bacterial small subunit ribosomal RNA", at positions 29 to 523 of the family's 1533-position model. The record is from RNAcentral.
AGCGAACGCUGGCGGCAGGCCUAACACAUGCAAGACGAGCGCCGUAGCAAUACGGAGCGGCAGACGGGAGAGUAACACGUGGGAACGUGCCCUUUGGUUCGGAACAACCCAGGGAAACUUGGGCUAAUACCGGAUAAGCCCUUACGGGGAAAGAUUUAUCGCCGAAGGAUCGGCCCGCGUCUGAUUAGCUAGUUGGUGGGGUAAGGGCCCGCCAAGGCGACGAUCAGUAGCUGGUCUGAGAGGAUGAUCAGCCUCACUGGGACUGAGACACGGCCCAGACUCCUACGGGAGGCAGCAGUGGGGAAUAUUAGACAAUGGGCGCAAGCCUGAUCCAGCCAUGCCGCGUGGGUGAUGAAGGCCCUAGGGUUGUAAAGCCCUUUCGGCGGGGAAGAUAAUGACGGUACCCGCAGAAGAAGCCCCGGCUAACUUCGUGCCAGCCGCCGCGGUAA